GGGUUGUGAGGUUAAGCGACUAAGCGUACACGGUGGAUGCCCUGGCAGUCAGAGGCGAUGAAGGACGUGCUAAUCUGCGAUAAGCGUCGGUAAGGUGAUAUGAACCGUUAUAACCGGCGAUUUCCGAAUGGGGAAACCCAGUGUGAUUCGUCACACUAUCAUUAACUGAAUCCAUAGGUUAAUGAGGCGAACCGGGGGAACUGAAACAUCUAAGUACCCCGAGGAAAAGAAAUCAACCGAGAUUCCCCCAGUAGCGGCGAGCGAACGGGGAGGAGCCCAGAGCCUGAAUCAGUGUGUGUGUUAGUGGAAGCGUCUGGAAAGGCGCGCGAUACAGGGUGACAGCCCCGUACACAAAAAUGCACAUACUGUGAGCUCGAUGAGUAGGGCGGGACACGUGGUAUCCUGUCUGAAUAUGGGGGGACCAUCCUCCAAGGCUAAAUACUCCUGACUGACCGAUAGUGAACCAGUACCGUGAGGGAAAGGCGAAAAGAACCCCGGCGAGGGGAGUGAAAAAGAACCUGAAACCGUGUACGUACAAGCAGUGGGAGCACAGAGCAAUCUGUGUGACUGCGUACCUUUUGUAUAAUGGGUCAGCGACUUAUAUUCUGUAGCAAGGUUAACCGAAUAGGGGAGCCGAAGGGAAACCGAGUCUUAACUGGGCGUUAAGUUGCAGGGUAUAGACCCGAAACCCGGUGAUCUAGCCAUGGGCAGGUUGAAGGUUGGGUAACACUAACUGGAGGACCGAACCGACUAAUGUUGAAAAAUUAGCGGAUGACUUGUGGCUGGGGGUGAAAGGCCAAUCAAACCGGGAGAUAGCUGGUUCUCCCCGAAAGCUAUUUAGGUAGCGCCUCGUGAAUUCAUCUCCGGGGGUAGAGCACUGUUUCGGCAAGGGGGUCAUCCCGACUUACCAACCCGAUGCAAACUGCGAAUACCGGAGAAUGUUAUCACGGGAGACACACGGCGGGUGCUAACGUCCGUCGUGAAGAGGGAAACAACCCAGACCGCCAGCUAAGGUCCCAAAGUCAUGGUUAAGUGGGAAACGAUGUGGGAAGGCCCAGACAGCCAGGAUGUUGGCUUAGAAGCAGCCAUCAUUUAAAGAAAGCGUAAUAGCUCACUGGUCGAGUCGGCCUGCGCGGAAGAUGUAACGGGGCUAAACCAUGCACCGAAGCUGCGGCAGCGACGCUUAUGCGUUGUUGGGUAGGGGAGCGUUCUGUAAGCCUGCGAAGGUGUGCUGUGAGGCAUGCUGGAGGUAUCAGAAGUGCGAAUGCUGACAUAAGUAACGAUAAAGCGGGUGAAAAGCCCGCUCGCCGGAAGACCAAGGGUUCCUGUCCAACGUUAAUCGGGGCAGGGUGAGUCGACCCCUAAGGCGAGGCCGAAAGGCGUAGUCGAUGGGAAACAGGUUAAUAUUCCUGUACUUGGUGUUACUGCGAAGGGGGGACGGAGAAGGCUAUGUUGGCCGGGCGACGGUUGUCCCGGUUUAAGCGUGUAGGCUGGUUUUCCAGGCAAAUCCGGAAAAUCAAGGCUGAGGCGUGAUGACGAGGCACUACGGUGCUGAAGCAACAAAUGCCCUGCUUCCAGGAAAAGCCUCUAAGCAUCAGGUAACAUCAAAUCGUACCCCAAACCGACACAGGUGGUCAGGUAGAGAAUACCAAGGCGCUUGAGAGAACUCGGGUGAAGGAACUAGGCAAAAUGGUGCCGUAACUUCGGGAGAAGGCACGCUGAUAUGUAGGUGAAGUCCCUCGCGGAUGGAGCUGAAAUCAGUCGAAGAUACCAGCUGGCUGCAACUGUUUAUUAAAAACACAGCACUGUGCAAACACGAAAGUGGACGUAUACGGUGUGACGCCUGCCCGGUGCCGGAAGGUUAAUUGAUGGGGUUAGCGCAAGCGAAGCUCUUGAUCGAAGCCCCGGUAAACGGCGGCCGUAACUAUAACGGUCCUAAGGUAGCGAAAUUCCUUGUCGGGUAAGUUCCGACCUGCACGAAUGGCGUAAUGAUGGCCAGGCUGUCUCCACCCGAGACUCAGUGAAAUUGAACUCGCUGUGAAGAUGCAGUGUACCCGCGGCAAGACGGAAAGACCCCGUGAACCUUUACUAUAGCUUGACACUGAACAUUGAGCCUUGAUGUGUAGGAUAGGUGGGAGGCUUUGAAGUGUGGACGCCAGUCUGCAUGGAGCCGACCUUGAAAUACCACCCUUUAAUGUUUGAUGUUCUAACGUUGACCCGUAAUCCGGGUUGCGGACAGUGUCUGGUGGGUAGUUUGACUGGGGCGGUCUCCUCCUAAAGAGUAACGGAGGAGCACGAAGGUUGGCUAAUCCUGGUCGGACAUCAGGAGGUUAGUGCAAUGGCAUAAGCCAGCUUGACUGCGAGCGUGACGGCGCGAGCAGGUGCGAAAGCAGGUCAUAGUGAUCCGGUGGUUCUGAAUGGAAGGGCCAUCGCUCAACGGAUAAAAGGUACUCCGGGGAUAACAGGCUGAUACCGCCCAAGAGUUCAUAUCGACGGCGGUGUUUGGCACCUCGAUGUCGGCUCAUCACAUCCUGGGGCUGAAGUAGGUCCCAAGGGUAUGGCUGUUCGCCAUUUAAAGUGGUACGCGAGCUGGGUUUAGAACGUCGUGAGACAGUUCGGUCCCUAUCUGCCGUGGGCGCUGGAGAACUGAGGGGGGCUGCUCCUAGUACGAGAGGACCGGAGUGGACGCAUCACUGGUGUUCGGGUUGUCAUGCCAAUGGCACUGCCCGGUAGCUAAAUGCGGAAGAGAUAAGUGCUGAAAGCAUCUAAGCACGAAACUUGCCCCGAGAUGAGUUCUCCCUGACUCCUUGAGAGUCCUGAAGGAACGUUGAAGACGACGACGUUGAUAGGCCGGGUGUGUAAGCGCAGCGAUGCGUUGAGCUAACCGGUACUAAUGAACCGUGAGGCUUAACCUUACAACGCCGAAG
RNAcentral lists this ribosomal RNA (2927 nucleotides) under Escherichia coli. RNAcentral's name for it is "bacterial LSU rRNA". It matches the Rfam family "Bacterial large subunit ribosomal RNA". Lineage: Bacteria; Pseudomonadati; Pseudomonadota; Gammaproteobacteria; Enterobacterales; Enterobacteriaceae. The record is from RNAcentral.